UCUUCUCUAAAGUCAGAUGGGCUCAAUUACUUUAAUUACUCAAGAACUCAGCACGAAGCGUAACAACAUGUUUCCAUUUUACAUUCUGUCAAAAGGAGCGACAACUGAAUGUACAACUCCAUAUUCCAAUACUCGAGGAUGUGUCCUUUUGUAAACUCGUGAUUGAAUUACACGUUGUUGAAGAGAAGCAAGUAUCCGGAUAUUUUUCAGCGGCAGCGUGUAUACACACAUGAUUCGAUACCUUCCCUGUAGAUAGCUCGUCCAACCCGUUUGUCCCAAUCUCCGCUGUACUCAGCUUCGAUCUCGUUUCAUUCCGGUCGUUCCUCCCUUGCGGUGCUGUGUCGAUGACGAUGUAUGUAUAUCAUCUGUCCAAGGUCGCUGUUUGUUUUUUGGACAUUCACGCUUUUCGAUGGAAAAAGUUUACUUCGCCGAUGGACGCAAAUUGACUAAUUUUAC
Long non-coding RNA from Bombus huntii, 456 nucleotides. RefSeq lists it as uncharacterized. The transcript has 3 exons. The record is from RefSeq and is a predicted model, not a curated record. NCBI's taxonomy places the organism in Eukaryota, Metazoa, Arthropoda, Insecta, Hymenoptera, Apidae.